GGCUUUGUAGCUCAGCAGAUAGAGCGCUUGCCGCGUCGAGGCAUGGUGUUUCUGCCGCCGGUUCGAAUCCAGCCGAAGCCC
This 81-nucleotide transfer RNA is filed under the name Paragonimus heterotremus. It matches the Rfam family "tRNA". Rfam says of the family: Transfer RNA (tRNA) molecules are approximately 80 nucleotides in length. The record is from Rfam by way of RNAcentral. Lineage: Eukaryota; Metazoa; Platyhelminthes; Trematoda; Plagiorchiida; Troglotrematidae.